RNAcentral lists this ribosomal RNA (484 nucleotides) under uncultured bacterium. RNAcentral's name for it is "partial 16S ribosomal RNA". It matches the Rfam family "Bacterial small subunit ribosomal RNA", at positions 30 to 507 of the family's 1533-position model. The record is from RNAcentral.
AUUGAACGCUGGCGGCAGGCCUAACACAUGCAAGUCGAGCGGAUGAAGGGAGCUUGCUCCUGGAUUCAGCGGCGGACGGGUGAGUAAUGCCUAGGAAUCUGCCUGGUAGUGGGGGAUAACGUCCGGAAACGGGCGCUAAUACCGCAUACGUCCUGAGGGAGAAAGUGGGGGAUCUUCGGACCUCACGCUAUCAGAUGAGCCUAGGUCGGAUUAGCUAGUUGGUGGGGUAAAGGCCUACCAAGGCGACGAUCCGUAACUGGUCUGAGAGGAUGAUCAGUCACACUGGAACUGAGACACGGUCCAGGCUCCUACGGGAGGCAGCAGUGGGGAAUAUUGGACAGUGGGCGGAAGCCUGAUCCAGCCAUGCCGCGUGUGUGAAGAAGGUCUUCGGAUUGUAAAGCACUUUAAGUUGGGAGGAAGGGCAGUAAGUUAAUACCUUGCUGUUUUGACGUUACCAACAGAAUAAGCACCGGCUAACUUCGUG